RNAcentral lists this ribosomal RNA (391 nucleotides) under Bdelloura candida. RNAcentral describes it as "partial 16S ribosomal RNA". The record is from RNAcentral. Lineage: Eukaryota; Metazoa; Platyhelminthes; Tricladida; Bdellouridae.
UUUGGAAGUACACCCUGCUCAAUGAAUAAUUGUUUCAAUAGCCGCAGUAUACUGACUGUGCAAAGGUAGCAUAAUAACUUGUUUUUUUAAUUAAAUUGCUGAAUGAAUGGGGUAAGGAUAUGUUGAAGUUUUCUUUAUUAUCUAAAGAACUUAAUAAAAAGAGUAAAAAUUUCUCUUUUUUGUUGUUUAAGACGAAAAGACCCUAGUAGAACUUGAAAUAAUUAUUUGUUUUUGUUUGGGGGGUAUUGUAUUUAUUAUGAAUAUAGGUAAAUGAAAAGUUUCCUUAGGGAUAACAAGGGAAUUAUACUUGAGAGUUCGAAUCGAAGGUGGAGAUUCCUAUCUCGAUGUUGAAUCAAAAUAACUUUUAGGUGUAGAGGCUUAAGGAGUUAGC